This is a long non-coding RNA of Gigantopelta aegis, 389 nucleotides long. RefSeq lists it as uncharacterized. The transcript has 3 exons. The record is from RefSeq and is a predicted model, not a curated record. Lineage: Eukaryota; Metazoa; Mollusca; Gastropoda; Neomphalida; Peltospiridae.
UAGGUUGACAUCACCCAGUUCAGACAUACUUGCUGCACAAAACAAGGACUGGCCAUCAUCACUACAUGUGUGAUUCACCUGGGAAAAUUAUCUUUUUCUAUUUUUUUAAAUUUAUGUUAAUAUAGUGGACAGUGUGUUAUGAUUUACUUCUCUGCUACCUGAAGACACUCUUGACACAUACCACUGGAAUUCACACCACACUGGUUACCAAGAACUGAAUCUGCAGGUAAAUAGGCAGGUUUCCAUGCCUUGAUCCGCCUGCCCGAACACACAAAUGAAUGCCUUUGACACAGUGUUGAACAGUUGCCACUCACACAGGCCACGAUGGAAUCGAUGGUGUGUUUCGUUCUCAGCAAUGGUGUAGACCGCUUGAGUUGCAGGCUGGAGGG